Molecule: unclassified non-coding RNA, 356 nt
Filed under: soil metagenome
Description: partial contains 5.8S ribosomal RNA, internal transcribed spacer 2, and large subunit ribosomal RNA
Rfam family: 5.8S ribosomal RNA (bases 1-120)
Source: RNAcentral
GAUGAAGAACGCAGCGAAAUGCGAUAAGUAAUGCGAAUUGCAGAAUUCAGUGAAUCAUCGAAUCUUUGUACGCACAUUGCGCCCGCCAGUACUCUGGCGGGCAUGCCUGUCUGAGCGUCAUUUCAACCCUCGCGCCCGGCUUCUGUCGGGGGCGGUGUUGGGGAUCGGCCUCCCGUCUUCCGGGCGGCCGGCCCCUAAAUGGAGUGGCGACCGCGCCGUAGCCUCCUCUGCGUAGUAGUGAAACACUCGCGGGCGGAGAGCGGUGCGGCCCGCCGUAAAACCCCCAACUCUUCUAAGGUUGACCUCAGAUCAGGUAGGAAUACCCGCUGAACUUAAGCAUAUCAAUAAGCGGAGGA